UGGGGAAUAUUGCACAAUGGGCGCAAGCCUGAUGCAGCCAUGCCGCGUGUGUGAAGAAGGCCUUCGGGUUGUAAAGCACUUUCAGCGAGGAGGAAGGGUAGUGUGUUAAUAGCACAUUGCAUUGACGUUACUCGCAGAAGAAGCACCGGCUAACUCCGUGCCAGCAGCCGCGGUAAUACGGAGGGUGCAAGCGUUAAUCGGAAUUACUGGGCGUAAAGCGCACGCAGGCGGUUUGUUAAGUCAGAUGUGAAAGCCCCGCGCUUAACGGGGGAACUGCAUUUGAAACUGGCAAGCUAGAGUCUUGUAGAGGGGGGUAGAAUUCCAGGUGUAGCGGUGAAAUGCGUAGAGAUCUGGAGGAAUACCGGUGGCGAAGGCGGCCCCCUGGACAAAGACUGACGCUCAGGUGCGAAAGCGUGGGGAGCAAACA
Molecule: ribosomal RNA, 427 nt
Filed under: uncultured bacterium
Lineage: Bacteria
Description: partial 16S ribosomal RNA
Rfam family: Bacterial small subunit ribosomal RNA
Source: RNAcentral